Molecule: transfer RNA, 72 nt
Filed under: Candidatus Spechtbacteria bacterium RIFCSPLOWO2_01_FULL_43_12
Lineage: Bacteria; Candidatus Spechtiibacteriota
Also listed under: 1 other name
Description: tRNA-Thr
Rfam family: tRNA
About the family: Transfer RNA (tRNA) molecules are approximately 80 nucleotides in length.
Source: RNAcentral
GCCAGCGUAGCUCAGUGGCAGAGCACUUCCAUGGUAAGGAAGGGGUCGGGAGUUCAAUCCUCCCCGCUGGCU